This 122-nucleotide ribosomal RNA is filed under the name Danio rerio (zebrafish). Lineage: Eukaryota; Metazoa; Chordata; Actinopteri; Cypriniformes; Danionidae. The record is from RNAcentral.
CCACACAGCCAUAUCACCCUGCAGCCCAAGACCGGUUCAGUGACUCACUGAAGCUAAGCAGGGCUGAGCCUGGUCAGUACCUGGAUGGGAGACCACUAGGGAACACUAGGUUGCUGUUGGAA